AUGCUGAGAUCUCCUCUCCCUCACACCUUUGCUGACCCCAGCUACCUGCAAUCUUGCCAGGACCAUUCUGGAGGUCAUGAGGCAACAGAAUUCCACAAUGAUAUGGUUGAGGAAAAUGGAGAACUGUCCACUGAGGAGCCCAGCAUAAUAAUGAACAACUAUCUGGAAUCUUUGGCUUCGGUACCAAGCUAAUACUGCCCUAGGUAGGUUAAAUUAAAAAAAAAAAAGUGGAAAAUAACUUUGCUUUCAUGGCAUGCUUGGUUAGGCACUUACUGGCCCUUUAAAGUAGAAUAACAGCAACUCAGAACACCUUUAGGCCAGAGUGUCUUAUCCUUGGCACUACUGAUAUUUUGGGUUCAAUAAUUCUUUGCUUUUGGGGGGCUGCAAAUUCUCAGGGCCUAUUACACUACUAUAAAGUGAGAGUGGCACCACCCCUCCAAGUGAUUCUGAGGCUGGUUAAAGUUUGAGGAACAGUAAUCUAACCCAACUCUCUCAUUUUACAAUAAAAGAAACCAGUUGGUUAAGCCUUAUCUCAGAUUAAAUGUCUGGUUAGAGUCAAAACGGUACAUUAUAUCUUAUUCUCCACAGAAUUUGCUAAGUGUGGCCUUGGAGAAAGAGGUGGGUAUCCUGCAAAGAUAUUUCACCCAGGCACCACCAACUACAUGAAACAUCCUGCUGCAAAGCAGAAAGCAUUUCAAGACUUACUGAAUAUGUUUCAUAAAUCUGGUCUCUCUCCUAGAUUCCCAGGGUUCUUGGGUUACAUGCAGAACAAUUCACUUUUAUCAACACUUUAUUUUUCUAAAGAUAGGUUAAUAUUAUAAAAAUUUUAUGACUGAUUAUGUAUAAUCAGUUUACAGCCAGAGUACUUUUUUUGUGUGUGCUUGAUUAGAUACCUAUUUCAUCAUGAAAUAGGCUUACUUUUACAGCCACAGGUAUUAUUACCGUUAUUGAUGUUGCUAGAUAUAUUGAUUUAGAAUUUUAAACUUUUCCAUAAAGUUGACUGGAAUGAAAAGCAGCUAAUAUAUGCUAGAAAAUAAAAAUGUGACUAUGCAGCCAUAAAAAAGAAUGAGAUCAUGACUUUUGAGGGAACAUGGAUGGAGCUGGAGGCUCCAUCCUCCAGCUCCAUCCAUUUUUCUGUUCCUGCAUUAGCAAACUAACACAGCAACAGAAAACCAAAUACCGCAUUUCUCCCUUAUAAGUGGGAGCUAAAUAAUGAGAACUCAUAGAUAUAAAGAGGGGAACAACAGACACUGGGGCCUACUUGAGGGUGGAGAGUUGGAGGAGAGAAGCAGAAAAAAUAAUUAUAUUGGGUACUAGGUUUAGUAUCUGAGUGAUGAAAUAAUCUGUACAAAAAACCCCUGUGACACGAGUUUAGCUAUAUAACAAGCCGGCAUAUGUACCCCUAAACCUAAAAUAAGAUUUAAAAAAAGAAAAGAAAAAUGUGUCAACCUUAUGUAUUUGAGAAAUCCUAUCUAGAUUAUUUAAAAAAGAAAAUAAAGUUAGCAAGAAAGUAGAUUGCUCUGCAAAAUUAAUUUUUAUCUCUGAUAAAUGAGUGUAGAAAUGUUAAAUAAAAAUAAACCACAUUUAUUUGCCACUUUCCUGUUUGCUUUAAUAAGAGAUAAUGCACUCUCCAAAGACAUUGUUAAAUCUCAUCCUUACUCUUUCUUUCCCCUCUAUCCUCUGGUUACUGUGAGAAUUAAGGUCUUUAAUUCCAAAGGAGAGUUCUUGUGAGGCCAAUUUGUGCUGGGUAAGAACAGGUGGACCACAUUUCCCACAGGAAGAUGAUGGUGGCUGCAUGUGGGUCUAGAUUGCCUAAGAAGCCAAAGGGGAGAGAAGUCACAAUCAAAAAGGGCCUGCCUGUAAUCCCAGGACUCUGGGAAGCCGAGGUGGGUG
This is a long non-coding RNA of Macaca fascicularis (crab-eating macaque), 1893 nucleotides long. The record is from Ensembl. NCBI's taxonomy places the organism in Eukaryota, Metazoa, Chordata, Mammalia, Primates, Cercopithecidae.